RNAcentral lists this long non-coding RNA (3327 nucleotides) under Oncorhynchus mykiss (rainbow trout). RNAcentral's name for it is "lncRNA (ENSOMYG00000061095.1)". Lineage: Eukaryota; Metazoa; Chordata; Actinopteri; Salmoniformes; Salmonidae. The record is from RNAcentral.
AUGGUUGAAUUCAAAAGUCACCACAUCUACCAUUACUACAGAGGACUGGGAGUCACCACAUCUACCAUUACUACAGAGGGCUGGGGGUCACCACAUCUACCAUUACUACAGAGGGCUGGGGGUCACCACAUCUACCAUUACUACAGAGGGCUGGGGGUCACCACAUCUACCAUUACUGCAGAGGACUGGGAGUCACCACAUCUACCAUUACUACAGAGGACUGGGAGUCACCACAUCUACCAUUACUGCAGAGGACUGGGAGUCACCACAUCUACCAUUACUACAGAGGACUGGGAGUCACCACAUCAACCAUUACUACAGAGGACUGGGGGUCACCACAUCUACCAUUACUACAGAGGACUGGGGGUCACCACAUCUACCAUUACUACAGAGGACUGGGGGUCACCACAUCUACCAUUACUACAGAGGACUGGGGGUCACCACAUCUACCAUUACUACAGAGGACUGGGGGUCACCACAUCUACCAUUACUACAGAGGACUGGGGGUCACCACAUCUACCAUUACUACAGAGGACUGGGGGUCACCACAUCUACCAUUACUACAGAGGACUGGGGGUCACCACAUCUACCAUUACUACAGAGGACUGGGGGUCACCACAUCUACCAUUACUACAGAGGACUGGGGGUCACCACAUCUACCAUUACUACAGAGGACUGGGGGUCACCACAUCUACCAUUACUACAGAGGGCUGGGGGUCACCACAUCUACCAUUACUACAGAGGGCUGGGGGUCACCACAUCUACCAUUACUACAGAGGGCUGGGGGUCACCACAUCUACCAUUACUACAGAGGGCUGGGGGUCACCACAUCUACCAUUACUACAGAGGGCUGGGGGUCACCACAUCUACCAUUACUACAGAGGGCUGGGGGUCACCACAUCUAACAUUACUACAGAGGACUGGGGGUCACCACAUCUACCAUUACUACAGAGGGCUGGGGGUCACCACAUCUACCAUUACUACAGAGGGCUGGGGGUCACCACAUCUACCAUUACUACAGAGGACUGGGGGUCACCACAUCUACCAUUACUACAGAGGGCUGGGGGUCACCAGGACAGGACCCUACACCCCCACCAUCAUAUCAACAACAUACAGGACCUACACCCCCACCAUCAUCCAUCAUAUCAACAACAUACAGGACCUACACCCCCACCAUCAUAUCAACAACAUACAGGACCUACACCCCCACCAUCAUCCAUCAUAUCAACAACAUACAGGACCCUACACCCCACCAUCAUCCAUUCUAUCAACAACAUACAGGACCUACACCCCACCAUCAUCCAUUCUAUCAACAACAUACAGGACCUACACCCCCACCAUCAUCCAUCCAUCAACAACAUACAGGACCCUACACCCCCACCAUCAUCCAUUCUAUCAACAACAUACAGGACCCUACACCCCCACCAUCAUCCAUUCUAUCAACAACAUACAGGACCUACACCCCCACCAUCAUCCAUCAUAUCAACAACAUACAGGACCCUACACCCCCACCAUCAUCCAUCAUAUCAACAACAUACAGGACCCUACACCCCCACCAUCAUCCAUUCUAUCAACAACAUACAGGACCUACACCCCCACCAUCAUCCAUCAUAUCAACAACAUACAGGACCUACACCCCCACCAUCAUCCAUCAUAUCAACAACAUACAGGACCUACACCCCACCAUCAUCCAUCAUAUCAACAACAUACAGGACCUACACCCCCACCAUCAUCCAUCAUAUCAACAACAUACAGGACCCUACACCCCCACCAUCAUCCAUUCUAUCAACAACAUACAGGACCUACACCCCCACCAUCAUCCAUUCUAUCAACAACAUACAGGACCCUACACCCCCACCAUCAUCCAUUCUAUCAACAACAUACAGGACCUACACCCCCACCAUCAUCCAUCAUAUCAACAACAUACAGGACCUACACCCCCACCAUCAUCCAUCAUAUCAACAACAUACAGGACCCUACACCCCCACCAUCAUCCAUUCUAUCAACAACAUACAGGACCUACACCCCCACCAUCAUCCAUCAUAUCAACAGCAUACAGGACCUACACCCCCACCAUCAUCCAUCAUAUCAACAACAUACAGGACCCUACACCCCACCAUCAUCCAUCAUAUCAACAACAUACAGGACCCACCAUCAUCCAUUUUAUCAACAACAUACAGGACCCUACACCCCACCAUCAUCCAUCAUAUCAACAACAUACAGGACCCACCAUCAUCCAUUCUAUCAACAACAUACAGGACCUACAACCCCACCAUCAUCCAUCAUAUCAACAACAUACAGGACCCUACACCCCACCAUCAUCCAUUCUAUCAACAACAUACAGGACCCUACACCCCACCAUCAUCCAUCAUAUCAACAACAUACAGGACCCACCAUCAUCCAUUCUAUCAACAACAUACAGGACCCUACACCCCCACCAUCAUCCAUUCUAUCAACAACAUACAGGACCCUACACCCCACCAUCAUCCAUCAUAUCAACAACAUACAGGACCUACACCCCACCAUCAUCCAUUCUAUCAACAACAUACAGGACCCUACACACCCACCAGAAUUCAUUCUAUCAACAACAUACAGGACCUACACCCCCACCAUCAUCCAUUCUAUCAACAACAUAUACAGGACCCUACACCCCCACCAUCAUCCAUUUUAUCAACAACAUACAGGACCUACACCCCACCAUCAUCCAUUCUAUCAACAACAUACAGGACCUACACCCCACCAUCAUCCAUUCUAUCAACAACAUACAGGACCCUACACCUCCACCAUCAUCCAUUCUAUCAACAACAUACAGGACCCUACACCCCCACCAUCAUCCAUGCUAUCAACAACAUACAGCACCUACACCCCCACCAUCAUAUCAACAACAUACAGGACCCCCACCAUCAUCCAUUCUAUCAACAACAUACAGGACCUACACCCCCACCAUCAUCCAUUCUAUCAACAACAUACAGGACCUACCAUCAUCCAUUCUAUCAACAACAUACAGCACUGCCACCAACCAUCAUCCAUUCUAUCAACAACAUAUACAGGACCCUACACCCCCACCAUCAUCCAUUCUAUCAACAACAUACAGCACUGCCACCAACCAUCAUCCAUUCUAUCAACAACAUAUACAGGACCCUACACCCCCACCAUCAUCCAUUCUAUCAACAACAUACAGGACCUACCAUCAUCCAUUUUAUCAACAACAUACAGCACUGCCACCAACCAUCAUCCAUUCUAUCAACAACAUAUACAGGACCCUACACCCCCACCAUCAUCCAUUCUAUCAACAACAUACAGGACCUACACCCCCACCCAGGCUGA